Molecule: ribosomal RNA, 950 nt
Filed under: uncultured Pseudomonadota bacterium
Lineage: Bacteria; Pseudomonadati; Pseudomonadota
Description: bacterial SSU rRNA
Rfam family: Bacterial small subunit ribosomal RNA
Source: RNAcentral
GUGGGAAUCUGGCCUCUAGAGGGGGAUAACUCGGGGAAACUCGGGCUAAUACCGCAUAAUCUCUAAGGAGGAAAGCGGGGGACCGAAAGGCCUCGCGCUGGGGGAUGAGCCUGCGUCCGAUUAGCUAGUUGGUGGGGUAAGGGCCUACCAAGGCGAUGAUCGGUAGCUGGUCUGAGAGGACGAUCAGCCACACUGGGACAGAGACACGGCCCAGACUCCUACGGGAGGCAGCAGUGGGGAAUAUUGGACAAUGGGGGCAACCCUGAUCCAGCAAUGCCGCGUGGGUGAAGAAGGCUUUCGGGUUGUAAAGCCYUUYMRKKGGGRAAGAAAAGCGAUGUGUGAAUAGCACAUCGUGUUGACGUUACCUACAGAAGAAGCACCGGCUAACUCCGUGCCAGCAGCCGCGGUAAUACGGAGGGUGCGAGCGUUAAUCGGAAUUACUGGGCGUAAAGGGCGCGUAGGCGGUUUGGUAAGUUGGGUGUGAAAGCCCCGGGCUCAACCUGGGAAUGGCACUUGAUACUGCCUGGCUAGAGUAUGGUAGAGGGAGGCGGAAUUUCCGGUGUAGCGGUGAAAUGCGUAGAUAUCGGAAGGARCACCAGUSGCGAAGGCGGCCUCCUGGACCACUACGACGCUKAGGUGCGAAAGCGUUGGGAGCAACCAGGAUUAGAUACCCUGGUAGUCCACGCCCUUAACGAUUAGAACUAGACCGUGGGAGGGAUAGCCUUUCAGUGUUGCAACUAACGCGUUAAGUUCUCCGCCUGGGGAGUACGGCCGCAAGGUUCGAAACUCAAAUAAAUUGACGGGGGCCCGCACAAGCGGUGAAGCAUGUGGUUUAAUUCGAUGCAACGCGAAGAACCUUACCUGGCCUUGACAUCCCCGGAACUUUGCUAAGAGGCGAAGGUGCUUCGGGAGCCGGGAGACAGGUGCUGCAUGGCUGUCGUCAGCUCGCG